UGCUACAAAGGGCAUUGCU
RNAcentral lists this unclassified non-coding RNA (19 nucleotides) under Mus musculus (house mouse). RNAcentral describes it as "oocyte_clustered_small_RNA110". Lineage: Eukaryota; Metazoa; Chordata; Mammalia; Rodentia; Muridae. The record is from RNAcentral.